AUAUGGCUCAGAUUGAACGCUAGCGGGAUGCCUUACACAUGCAAGUCGAACGGCAGCACGGACUUCGGUCUGGUGGCGAGUGGCGAACGGGUGAGUAAUGUAUCGGAACGUGCCUAGUAGCGGGGGAUAACUACGCGAAAGCGUAGCUAAUACCGCAUACGCCCUACGGGGGAAAGCAGGGGAUCGCAAGACCUUGCACUAUUAGAGCGGCCGAUAUCGGAUUAGCUAGUUGGUGGGGUAACGGCUCACCAAGGCGACGAUCCGUAGCUGGUUUGAGAGGACGACCAGCCACACUGGGACUGAGACACGGCCCAGACUCCUACGGGAGGCAGCAGUGGGGAAUUUUGGACAAUGGGGGAAACCCUGAUCCAGCCAUCCCGCGUGUGCGAUGAAGGCCUUCGGGUUGUAAAGCACUUUUGGCAGGAAAGAAACGUCAUGGGUUAAUACCCCGUGAAACUGACGGUACCUGCAGAAUAAGCACCGGCUAACUACGUGCCAGCAGCCGCGGUAAUACGUAGGGUGCAAGCGUUAAUCGGAAUUACUGGGCGUAAAGCGUGCGCAGGCGGUUCGGAAAGAAAGAUGUGAAAUCCCAGAGCUUAACUUUGGAACUGCAUUUUUAACUACCGAGCUAGAGUGUGUCAGAGGGAGGUGGAAUUCCGCGUGUAGCAGUGAAAUGCGUAGAUAUGCGGAGGAACACCGAUGGCGAAGGCAGCCUCC
RNAcentral lists this ribosomal RNA (717 nucleotides) under Achromobacter sp. 110609_136_C_D3. Its description in RNAcentral is "bacterial SSU rRNA". It matches the Rfam family "Bacterial small subunit ribosomal RNA", at positions 17 to 729 of the family's 1533-position model. The record is from RNAcentral. Lineage: Bacteria; Pseudomonadati; Pseudomonadota; Betaproteobacteria; Burkholderiales; Alcaligenaceae.